AGUGAACGCUGGCGGUAGGCCUAACACAUGCAAGUCGAACGGCAGCACAGUAAGAGCUUGCUCUUACGGGUGGCGAGUGGCGGACGGGUGAGGAAUACAUCGGAAUCUACUUUUUCGUGGGGGAUAACGUAGGGAAACUUACGCUAAUACCGCAUACGACCUACGGGUGAAAGCAGGGGAUCUUCGGACCUUGCGCGAUUGAAUGAGCCGAUUUCGGAUUAGCUAGUUGGCGGGGUAAAGGCCCACCAAGGCGACGAUCCGUAGCUGGUCUGAGAGGAUGAUCAGCCACACUGGAACUGAGACACGGUCAAGACUCCUACGGGAGGCAGCAGUGGGGAAUAUUGGACAAUGGGCGCAAGCCUGAUCAAGCCAUACCGCGUGGGUGAAGAAGGCCUUCGGGUUGUAAAGCCCUUUUGUUGGGAAAGAAAAGCAGCAGGUUAAUACCCCGCUGUUCUGACGGUACCCAAAGAAUAAGCACCGGCUAACUUCGUG
This 492-nucleotide ribosomal RNA is filed under the name uncultured bacterium. RNAcentral's name for it is "partial 16S ribosomal RNA". It matches the Rfam family "Bacterial small subunit ribosomal RNA", at positions 29 to 507 of the family's 1533-position model. The record is from RNAcentral.